Molecule: long non-coding RNA, 1748 nt
Organism: Pristis pectinata (smalltooth sawfish)
Lineage: Eukaryota; Metazoa; Chordata; Chondrichthyes; Rhinopristiformes; Pristidae
Exons: 4
Source: RefSeq, a predicted model, not a curated record
GUUAAAUUCGGCGACGUCUAGUAACCCCGCCUUUCCUCGUCAGGACGGAGUUGAUUGGAUAAUUUAUUCCUCAAUCAUGUCUGCAGCUCGGAGCUGCGGGAAACGGGAAACAUUUUACAGGUGUGAUUGAUGUUUGCUUGAGGAGAUAGGCCUAUAAACUGAAGAACAUCAUUAUAAUCUCUACCUCAAGCAAGAUGUUUAAGCAAGGCCUUCAUUGUGCUAGGAACAACUUCUACAGUUGCUGGAAAACUGUGCAACUUCUGAAUUUCCUCUUUGGAUGGGCAACUUAAAUACUUCAGUAAUGGAUGCAUCAUCCAAGGCAAAAUUAUGGCCAUGGCCAUGCAUUGAUAGCACACCCAAAGAGAUGGUUACACUAAUCAAAUACAUCAAAGGAGCAAGGACAUGAAAUUAUUGUCACGCCGAGAUUUGUUCUCUCUUCCACCGAAGAAGAUCAGAGCAGAGCCAACAAGGAGAGGGAAAGGAUCAGAGAUCCUCCAAAGGUUAUACCAUAGACAGCUGCGGAGGAGAUAAUGACUGAUGAUGGAGAAACUGGAUUCUCCAAGGUGCCCAAGAUGAUGUAAUUAAAUAUCAAACUCCCACAGUCAUGUUUGCUUGAUUUUAGCUAAUGCUAAGUUUCAGCAUGCUCAUCUGAUUCCUGUAUUUUCUCUCCACCUUGACUUGCAUGGUGGAGAGAAUACAGAAAUUAGCCCACCUGUACAAGGACUCCUUAGUUGAGUUGAUUCCUUCCAAGUUUGCCCCACAUAAAACUCAUGGUUACUGCAUCAGUUGAGAUACUGGCUCUUCAUUGGGUGCAGGUAGUUAGGCGGCUGAGAUGUCACUCAAUGACUCAUAGUUCAAAAGUGGGUAAGAGCAGAUGGUAGUCUUGGGGACAUUAUAAAAGAUCCUUGUCAGAGGGUGCAGCCCUCUUCAGUGCUUGGGUGGACACAAACGCUGUACCCAAGGCCAUCGAUUAAAAGAGACAAAGAAAAUCUGAGUGCUAUUGGCAGAUCCUACAUGCACUCUUUGUGUCAUUGCAGAGGCCUUGACCAUAACCUUGCAGACUCCAGGCAGCAAUGUGUACACCUUAAAUAGGAUUAUAGACUUCUCUGGUUUUGUUCUUGCAGUGAAUCACUGAUCUGCACCAAGCUGUUACUAUCAAGAGGGGGUUACAACUGAAUGGGAUAAUGGAAUUGCAUUUGAAGGGCUUGUAUUUCUCACCUAUUGCUCUGCCCCUCCAUCCCCAUCAUCCCACUGAGGUUCCCAACAUGGGGCUUCCUCUCCCUCUCUUGACCUUAAAUUUCCCUUGUUUGAGAGAAUCACAAGAAUUGUUAAGAUUUUAAUUUACUAGUUGGGAAUAAAUCACUCAUCAUAAGUUUUAAAUAGUUUGAAAACCUUCUGUAUAAUUUGCAAGAAAUCAUUCAUCAAUACUAUAAACAUAACAAAUGUUCAAUGAGUAAAUGACAAUAAAAAUAUUCUGUCAACUAGCCACAUAAAAUGCAGUGUUGCCACAUUCUUCUAUAGGAAACUUAGCAGUGAUUCUUGGCAUCUUUAAAGCAAUUAUAGAUAUUUAGUUACAGGACAAUGAUUGUCAUUUGUAGAUAUACUGUAUGUAUGGAUGAAUUUAUAGAACAUAUGUAAUUAAUGUCAUUAUUUGCAAAUUUUUCCAUCUCAGUUAUGCUCUGAACAAAUUAGAGGUGUAAGCUCUAUAUAGCAAGCCAGUUGGCCAGCUGAUAAUAAAAAAAUUUAUG